CGGACGGGUGAGUAACACGUGGAUAACCUACCUAUAAGACUGGGAUAACUUCGGGAAACCGGAGCUAAUACCGGAUAAUAUUUUGAACCGCAUGGUUCAAAAGUGAAAGACGGUCUUGCUGUCACUUAUAGAUGGAUUCGCGCCGCAUUAGCUAGUUGGUAAGGUAACGGCUUACCAAGGCAACGAUGCAUAGCCGACCUGAGAGGGUGAUCGGCCACACUGGAACUGAGACACGGUCCAG
RNAcentral lists this ribosomal RNA (241 nucleotides) under uncultured Staphylococcus sp. RNAcentral describes it as "partial 16S ribosomal RNA". It matches the Rfam family "Bacterial small subunit ribosomal RNA", at positions 99 to 334 of the family's 1533-position model. The record is from RNAcentral. Lineage: Bacteria; Bacillati; Bacillota; Bacilli; Caryophanales; Staphylococcaceae.